Molecule: long non-coding RNA, 3187 nt
Organism: Herpailurus yagouaroundi (jaguarundi)
Lineage: Eukaryota; Metazoa; Chordata; Mammalia; Carnivora; Felidae
Exons: 3
Source: RefSeq, a predicted model, not a curated record
UCAUCCACUGCCAUGCAGGACGGCUUACCUCUGAAAUCAUGUCUUUGUAAACUGGUUACCCAGAGACAGAACAUGGGUCCCUCAAAGCCCUUCUUGUGAUGAUUCCUUCAACAUUCUGGGCAAAAUUGAGUCAACAGUAGCAACAGUGAUAUAUGAAAGGCUGCUAUUCUGACUCACUGACUGCCUGGUAUAGUCAACUCCUGCUUCCUUCCUCCUUCAUGUACACGUUCUUUCAUUUUUCCCAAAACCCUAUUGGAGGAGUGUUGUCACCCCCAUCUUAUAGAUGAGAGGGGGAAAAAAAUGAGGUCUGGGGAGUAAUGUAACCUACCUGAUCCAUGAGAACGCAGAGAGGUUAUCCAAAUAUAAGAUCGUAUAUAUCAAAUAUAAGAUCUAAUUAGCAUUGCCAUUUGAGGAGGAAGAUUGAUGUGGGCUGGAAGAAAAACUGUAGCCAAUAUCAUCACAUUUUUUUUCUUCCUGGUCUACACUGCCAGGACUCCGAUGUCACAGUCAACUCUGCAAAUCAGUUGUGAAAACACGACUAUAAAAGGUGAGUGGUAUUCUCAGUGGUGGUUGGUGUGUGUGAAAAUUAUGUUAUGCACAGUUACUAACAGAGAUCGCUGGCUAUGAAACAGAAACCCUAGCUAUGUAUACAGAGCUUUAAAAUAAGACACCACCUGACUCGCGACACAGUGGACAAAGACAAAGAACCACCCUGCCUUCACCUUUAUUUCCCACGACUGGAUAUUUUUGCCAUUGUGCGCAUCAGUCACUUUCACGUCGACAAAUAAAUCCAAAGCAGAAUAUAUAAAAGAGAUAACAAGUUGCACAAAGAGCCUUUCAGGGGGUAGAAAAACAAAAGAACGCUUUUGCCACCCUUAUUGAGACAGGACUAGCAAAGACACACGCGACCCACGCUGUUUUACCGACAACUAAAUUUUGUCAGGAUUAGCAUGGCGGGAGAUAUUCGGGGCGGGGGGGGGGGGAUACCAAACACAAGAAAGGCAGAUUUAAGAAGAAAGUUAAAUACGACACCUUUUGUGCCAGAAACCUACAUAAAGAGAUAGACGCCUGACAGCCUGGACAGACCAGGGGAAAGCACUCCUGCAAUUGCUGAACCGUCAGAAACCCUAGGCCAGUCCCUUCGUCUCAGAGCCGAAGCCCAGAGAGCAAGCAGGGUUGUCCAGAAUCACACACAUGCUCCAGGAAACAGCGGCUGAUGUUGUCCUCGGCACCAAGGAUGCAAAGAUGAAUGAUGUGUGGACUUAAAGUCAGAAAGCAAAAGUCGCAUCACCUGGCUCCCAUCACAGUGCUCUCUCCACGGAGGCCAAGCCUGGGUACGCACAGAAGAUAAUCCAGCCGUGUCCUGCAGCAACAGGGGGAUUAAACGGCCUCUCAAGGCUGAAACACCUAGAUACAUUAUUUACCAAAUAACGGAGCCAUAGAUUCUGUGAGCCUGUGAUCUUUAAUAUAGAGAUCAAAUUCAUACAUAGAUGCUUUCACUGACACCUCCCAUAUGGCAUUUCAAGAUUGUUUCUUCGCUUUUUGUCUCCUACGGGAUUCCGUGAGGGUUUCAGAAAAGGGGCAGCACAGGAAGCUUGUUUUGAAAAUCCAAAUCUUACCUGGGCCAAUUAUGGCUUCUUGGAAGAGAGAAAGAGGUAAUAACUGAACAUAAGCGAAAGAGGAAACUUUUCCUGGAGGCAAGAGAGGAGGCUGAGCGUAAUUCUCGCUGGCACAGGUCACCGUCAGAAAUCAAGGUCACCGUCAGAAAUCAUUCACGGAAUACCUACUGCGCAAGAAACUUCAGUCGAGGCUGGGAGGGAAGGGAAAACAAGGAAGAGACCGUGAUUUCGCCCCUUCAGCCUGCAGAGAAGCCAGAGCAGGAUCAGUAUGUGCACAGAGCGGGACACCGGCUGGAGAAGAAAACCAGCAGAAGCACAGCAAGAUGACAUCCAGAUGAAAUGCUGAGGCACAGAAACAGUCAGGUAGCUAGUAUGGCCGCCCCCCCCCCCCCCCCCCCCCGCCUGAUGUAAUGUAUACGGAGAUUCAUGUUUAUUGAUUCUGGGCCAAGCUUCAUCCCCAAAGCCCAUCAUCACUACCACCAUCCGAGGGCACGCAAAAUACAGAGCCAAAACUCUCACUUUUCCCUAGCAUGUCUCAAGUCCCAAUAUCCUCCUGUGGUGUGUAGGAGGGGAUGCCUGGCCCCAUCUCCUGCUGCUGUCAUUCCCUCAUGUCCAGGCAUGAAUGAAGCCAGAAUUGUGGGGGACUUUUUCCCACAAGAAUCCAGGUCCCUGUGUUGUUACUCAACUUCAUACAGCCGGUGCCACAUGUAAUUCACGGGCUAAUUACGCCCAAGAACCACGCUAUUGCUCAGCUCACAAGAAGAGAGAGAAUGAGGAAACUCUUCUGAUUGGACAACAGUUUCCCAGGGGAUGUGAGUCUUGCUGUUGUGGUUACUUAAGUUUCAUGUUGACGUUUGCUUUGAGUUCGGACUCUUGGAUUAUCUUGGAUAUCUUGGAUUAUCUUGGAUAUCUUGGAUACCUUGGAUUAUCUUGGAUAUCUUCAGACUCUUGGAUAUCUUGGAUCUCUAUGUUAUACACUCGAUGACCUCUGCCAUGAACCGCUGGUUACACCCACAGAAACGGUAGAAACGCAGUUGUCCCCUCACUCCCUAAUCCUAUGCCCCUGAUGCCCCAUACACCACUCUCACCCUGUUUAUCCAAAUUGCCACCACCGGGGCAGCAAAUUUACCAAUCCGCUAAACAAGGAAGCUAGAAGCAGCACAGAAGAGAGACAUAUUCUAUUCCCAGGAUCCUGUUCUCAACCCAGAUGGUCUGUUGGGCACGUUGCCUAAACUGUAUCGCUCUCACAUUCCCCAUUUGUAAAGGAGUAAUAACAAGCCACAGGUGAUUAUGAGGAACCAAUUUACAGGGGUAUGAAUAGUCUCUGAAAAAUGCAGAGUACUAGAGAAAGGCAAACUAAAGGUAAGCCACGGUGUUGAAGUAUAAAAUGUAUAUCCUGGUUUGACAUUAGUGUGCUAACUUUCUCGAACACUGAAGACACGUUGGGGUGUGAUUCAAGGAUUCAACACUUCAUGCUAAGACUCCGGAUGUCGAUACCAAUCAAUCUAGAUGGUGCACCACCAGAAACGGCAAUAAAACAAGUUGUCAAAGAUAAGUACGUUGAGACA